Molecule: long non-coding RNA, 1679 nt
Organism: Bos indicus x Bos taurus (hybrid cattle)
Lineage: Eukaryota; Metazoa; Chordata; Mammalia; Artiodactyla; Bovidae
Source: Ensembl
CAGGGAGGCAGGGGCUGAAAUCAAGGAAUAAGGGAGGUGGCUUGGGGGUUGGUGAUGACUAGCAUGAACGGAUCAUGGGUUGAACAGCCUGAGGAUCUGGUCACCAUGGGCAGGAACACAGCUGGACCUAACGCUCUGCUGAGGGGUUUUAGGAGGAGAGGCAGAGCAUAAUCUGCAAGUGACACAGAAGCAAGGAGUCAAGUUCUCUCAUUUCUAGACCUCCUGGGAGGAGGGCUGUGGGAAAGGAAAUGGACGUGACUCCAAGGGGCUGCUGGGGAGGACACAGUGUUCAGGGGGCUAGGCCUGGUCUCAGGUCCAGUGAGCAAGUGAUGGUAGGUGUCAGCAGAGAGGCUGAGGAUGGAGGCCACAAAGCAGUGAUGUCAGGAAGCGGGCAGGCAGGUGAAGUGAAGGGAAAAAAUGAUGGGUGAUGAUUAGAGUCUGGGGGUUCGAAUUCCAUGCUUCCUGUGGGGUCUGAUAGGAGCAAACAUAAAGAGUAUGAUGAGAAGAGUCUUGAUGUUCUCAAGGCAGACAGUUCAUGUGGCUCAUUUGCAUUGUUAGGAAGGAGUGGAUGCUACUGUUAACUGGCAGGAUUUAUACUGGCGAACUGAGUCCAGGCUGAAGGGGACCGAGCCUCAGGCCCUGUUUCCACUCCUAUCUCUGGUGACAUGUUGGUGGGAGGGGUAUCUUAUCUAAUCUGAACAUGGUGAAUUCCUGGUCCCUCCUGGCUUGCUUGGGAGCAUCCAGAGCUCUCCAGGCCAGUUGAUUUAUUGAUUAGGUUUUUUCUCCUCAGUCCAUGGGCUGGGUCUCUUAACCCAAUUUGACUUGGACUCAGUGCCAAAGACUUCCAUGAACAGUCUGGGUAACAGUCAAUGUCCUUAACUUUGCCAGAACAAAUCUGUCUCUCUCAGCAGAACUUCUUCCAAGACUCCUAUUGUGUCUUCAUUUGCCCUGAGUUAAAAUGCCAGAGUCAGGACAGCCUGGAGCCGCAGCCCUAGACCGUGGGAGGAAACUUGGGCUCCAGUCCUGCCUUUGCCUCUCGGGGGACCCUAGACCUGUCGAGUUUGAGUCCUUGGCUGUUAAAGGAAAGCAUGGAGCUGUGAGAAUGGAUUCAGCUCACACAUUUUCUAAUGAUCCCUCUGCUCAACGUGGCAGGCACACUGAUCAUUUCUCAAAAGCCUGUUCAAGAAUGAAGGAAACUAGAGGAAUGAAGGCACCAAAAUAAGAAAAGAUGACACCCCACAGCACAAAAGCAGCCCAUCAAACAACCAAGACGCCGACAUGCUCAGCAGGACUACAGGAAAGCUGCCGUCUCGCCUGUCAGAUGUAACCUUUUCUUCUCUGUCCUGGGCUUUUCUGAAAAGGUAGGGAAUGUCUGCUUACGUUUGUGAGGUUGGUGCAUUAAAAACUCUGGAAAAUAGCUCACAAAGCAUUUGAUGGCUUAAGUGGGACCUUUUUUUAUCUUAAUAACACAGGCUCCUUUCCCCCUACAGAAUACACCUCCCUACCAAGGCCAUCUUCAAUCUCUACAGAAGUCCCCAACUCCACCACCUCUUCAUGCGGUCACUGCAUGGGGACCUUCCUUGCCUGCUCUUUAGGACAAAGGUCUACACACAGCUGAUCCCCUCCCCACAGAGGCCAACACUUUUGAUUUCAUCAAUAAAUCAUUUGUAAUCAAGACA